GUGCCAGCCGCCGCGGUAAUACGUAGGGUGCAAGCGUUAAUCGGAAUUACUGGGCGUAAAGCGUGCGCAGGCGGUUUUGUAAGUCUGUCGUGAAAGCCCCGGGCUCAACCUGGGAAUUGCGAUGGAGACUGCAAGGCUUGAAUCUGGCAGAGGGGGGUAGAAUUCCACGUGUAGCAGUGAAAUGCGUAGAGAUGUGGAGGAACACCGAUGGCGAAGGCAGCCCCCUGGGUCAAGAUUGACGCUCAUGCACGAAGGCGUGGGGAGCAAACAG
This 271-nucleotide ribosomal RNA is filed under the name uncultured Burkholderiales bacterium. Its description in RNAcentral is "partial 16S ribosomal RNA". It matches the Rfam family "Bacterial small subunit ribosomal RNA", at positions 505 to 775 of the family's 1533-position model. The record is from RNAcentral. Lineage: Bacteria; Pseudomonadati; Pseudomonadota; Betaproteobacteria; Burkholderiales.